GGCUAAUGGUCUCUUUUGAAGGAUUCUAUUAAUUCAUUAUGUACUUGUUAACAAUUCUUUCCCUCCCAUAAUUGUCCAGGGGGAGACAAGGCAUACAAGGUGGUUCUAAACAAGUACGUAUUGAGAAAAGCAUUUCCCACAAUAAAGAAAAAUUUUCUAAAGGCCUACGUUCUAACAGAAACACUAUUUCUUCCUGUAUUUUAAGCAUUAGAGGGAUAGAAUACAGUGUUAAACUUGAGGGUUCACAAAAUUUCUACAUAGUAUAAUUUUAAGUAUUAAAUGCUGGUAUUUGUAUGGAGGUAGCUAGCCCUAA
Molecule: long non-coding RNA, 313 nt
Filed under: Bos taurus (domestic cattle)
Lineage: Eukaryota; Metazoa; Chordata; Mammalia; Artiodactyla; Bovidae
Description: long non-coding RNA NONBTAT023710
Source: RNAcentral